Long non-coding RNA from Oncorhynchus tshawytscha (Chinook salmon), 1338 nucleotides. NCBI's taxonomy places the organism in Eukaryota, Metazoa, Chordata, Actinopteri, Salmoniformes, Salmonidae. The record is from Ensembl.
CCUAACUGUAACCUUAGCAAGCAGUUGCUUAUCGACAGAUAGUCAACACUGUAUCGAAAUGUGGGGGGGGUCGGCAUGGGCAGUUAGGGAAGGCAUGGGCAGUUAUGGAAGGCAUGGGCAGUUAUGGAAGGCAUGGGCAGUUAUGGAAGACAUGGGCAGUUAUGGAAGGCAUGGGCAGUUAUGGAAGACAUGGGCAGUUAUGGAAGACAUGGGCAGUUAUGGAAGGCAUGGGCAGUUAUGGAAGGCAUGGGCAGUUAUGGAAGACAUGGGCAGUUAUGGAAGGCAUGGGCAGUUAUGGAAGGCAUAGGCAGUUAUGGAAGGCAUGGGCAGUUAUGGAAGACAUGGGCAGUUAUGGAAGGCAUGGGCAGUUAUGGAAGGCAUGGGCAGUUAUGGAAGGCAUGGGCAGUUAUGGAAGGCAUGGGCAGUUAUGGAAGACAUGGGCAGUUAUGGAAGACAUGGGCAGUUAUGGAAGACAUGGGCAGUUAUGGAAGGCAUAGGCAGUUAUGGAAGGCAUGGGCAGUUAUGGAAGACAUGGGCAGUUAUGGAAGGCAUGGGCAGUUAUGGAAGGCAUGGGCAGUUAUGGAAGGCAUGGGCAGUUAUGGAAGGCAUGGGCAGUUAUGGAAGGCAUAGGCAGUUAUGGAAGACAUGGGCAGUUAUGGAAGACAUGGGCAGUUAUGGAAGACAUGGACAGUUAUGGAAGGCAUGGGCAGUUAUGGAAGACAUGGGCAGUUUUUCGGAUGACGGACAAGGCUUUGAGCUAGUCUUUGUAACUGUGGGCCCUUGCAUGUGUCUGACUGAGGACUCAGAGCAUAGCAGACACAGGAGAAGUCUGUGUUCCUGGAGUCAUGGAAGGCUUAAAAAGGCAGGGCCCAGUUUUCCACACCACUGAAUGCAGAGGCCCACCCCACUCCCGACCAGCCAUAGACACCAAUGCAGCUGUGGCGUCUGGGAGCCAAAUCUCCGAAAACCACAUGAAAAAUAUGAACAUUUUCUCCUGGUGCCUAAGUUAGAAUGGCUGAUAUUAAAUGAUAGCGAUACUACAUAGGGAGAAGAAGAAGACGUUGGAUUGAUGGUCAGACAUUUGAAGGUGGUAGUAUUGGGCUUGAUGUGUCCUGCAGUUGAAGCAGUAUAAUGUAUUUUUGAGGUAUGUUACCUCAUGAACGGUGGGACCGGACCAACACAGCUGGAAACAUGAUGCUGUAUAUGCAUGUGCAGAGGCCACAGAACUAUACUGUCCUCUUUGGAGAUGUCAGUUGGUGGAAAUGUCAAUAUUCCACCUACCAUCUCUUCACUAAACAAGAAAAGCCAUGUCGUCUGUAUGAGUAAGCCAUCAAUUAC